GAUGAACGCUGGCGGCGUGCCUAAUACAUGCAAGUCGAGCGAACAGACAAGGAGCUUGCUCCUCUGACGUUAGCGGCGGACGGGUGAGUAACACGUGGAUAACCUACCUAUAAGACUGGGAUAACUUCGGGAAACCGGAGCUAAUACCGGAUAAUAUAUUGAACCGCAUGGUUCAAUAGUGAAAGACGGUUUUGCUGUCACUUAUAGAUGGAUCCGCGCCGCAUUAGCUAGUUGGUAAGGUAACGGCUUACCAAGGCAACGAUGCGUAGCCGACCUGAGAGGGUGAUCGGCCACACUGGAACUGAGACACGGUCCAGACUCCUACGGGAGGCAGCAGUAGGGAAUCUUCCGCAAUGGGCGAAAGCCUGACGGAGCAACGCCGCGUGAGUGAUGAAGGUCUUCGGAUCGUAAAACUCUGUUAUUAGGGAAGAACAAAUGUGUAAGUAACUAUGCACGUCUUGACGGUACCUAAUCAGAAAGCCACGGCUAACUACGGG
This 497-nucleotide ribosomal RNA is filed under the name uncultured bacterium. Its description in RNAcentral is "partial 16S ribosomal RNA". It matches the Rfam family "Bacterial small subunit ribosomal RNA", at positions 28 to 507 of the family's 1533-position model. The record is from RNAcentral.